UAGGGAAUCUUCGGCAAUGGGGGCAACCCUGACCGAGCAACGCCGCGUGAGUGAAGAAGGUUUUCGGAUCGUAAAGCUCUGUUGUAAGUCAAGAACGAGUGUGAGAGUGGAAAGUUCACACUGUGACGGUAGCUUACCAGAAAGGGACGGCUAACUACGUGCCAGCAGCCGCGGUAAUACGUAGGUCCCGAGCGUUGUCCGGAUUUAUUGGGCGUAAAGCGAGCGCAGGCGGUUUGAUAAGUCUGAAGUUAAAGGCUGUGGCUCAACCAUAGUUCGCUUUGGAAACUGUCAAACUUGAGUGCAGAAGGGGAGAGUGGAAUUCCAUGUGUAGCGGUGAAAUGCGUAGAUAUAUGGAGGAACACCGGUGGCGAAAGCGGCUCUCUGGUCUGUAACUGACGCUGAGGCUCGAAAGCGUGGGGAGCGAACAGGAUUAGAUACCCUGGUAGUCCACGCCGUNNCGAUGAGUGCUAGGUGUUAGGUCCUUUCCGGGACUUAGUGCCGCAGCUAACGCAUUAANCACUCCGCCUGGGGAGUACGACCGCAAGGNUG
Molecule: ribosomal RNA, 549 nt
Filed under: uncultured bacterium
Lineage: Bacteria
Description: bacterial SSU rRNA
Rfam family: Bacterial small subunit ribosomal RNA
Source: RNAcentral